This 253-nucleotide ribosomal RNA is filed under the name uncultured bacterium. RNAcentral describes it as "partial 16S ribosomal RNA". It matches the Rfam family "Bacterial small subunit ribosomal RNA", at positions 524 to 776 of the family's 1533-position model. The record is from RNAcentral.
UACAGAGGGGGCAAGCGUUAUUCGGAAUUAUUGGGCGUAAAGGGCGCGUAGGCGGCUUUGCAGGAGGCGGGUGAAAUCCCUCGGCUUAACCGAGGAACUGCCUGCCAGACUGCAUGGCUUGAGACCGGGAGAGGUGAGUGGAAUUCCCAGUGUAGCGGUGAAAUGCGUAGAUAUUGGGAGGAACACCAGUGGCGAAGGCGGCUCACUGGACCGGUACUGACGCUGAGGCGCAAAAGCGUGGGGAGCAAACAGG